RNAcentral lists this ribosomal RNA (228 nucleotides) under uncultured bacterium. Its description in RNAcentral is "partial 16S ribosomal RNA". It matches the Rfam family "Bacterial small subunit ribosomal RNA", at positions 524 to 751 of the family's 1533-position model. The record is from RNAcentral.
UACGAAGGGGGCUAGCGUUGCUCGGAAUUACUGGGCGUAAAGGGCGCGUAGGCGGGUCGUAAGUAGGGGGGUGAAAGCCCAGGGCUCAACCCUGGAAUUGCCUUCUAAACUGGCGACCUUGAGUAUGGCAGAGGUGUGUGGAACUCCGAGUGUAGAGGUGAAAUUCGUAGAUAUUCGGAAGAACACCAGUGGCGAAGGCGACACACUGGGCCAUUACUGACGCUGAGG